GGCCGCCGCGCACAAGGGCCGGCGCGAGCCCGUGGGCCAGGACGCGCUGGGCAUGAAGAACAUGGCCAAAGGGGAGAGUCUGCUGGGAGAGGUGGCCGCGGACUGGACGGACGCCGAGUGCCCCGAGGCCAAGAGGCUGAAGGUACUGCCCCCUCUUGGCCCAGCUGCAUCGGCUCUCCCACCUCCCCAGCGCCCGGGGACGGUCACGGCUCCUUGGGGGCACACGUACCCCUCGUGGGGAUGGUGGGGCUUGGCCCCCAGGGGCUCCCCGGGUGGGUGGACUGCCCCUGCCUGCCCCUCCCCAAGCAGGCUCCUCGGAGACCCCGCUUUCUCCCAGUGACCCCCAACUGAGUGCAUCCCCUGCCCUGGGGCCACACCCAGGGCCUCUAUUGUCCCUAAAAACCGGGCACCGCGCGGGCAUCUCGAUACGAGAAGCCCCGUGGGCGCGUCCCCGCCAGCUCCUGCCAGCGUCACCUCCCGAGGGUGGGCUCUGAGAACACAGGGUCCUUGUGCCGCCAGGUUGAGGAGCCCGGCGUGGGGGCCGAGGACGCUGUGGACUGCCGUCAGUGGACUCAGCACCACCUGGCUGCGGCCGACAUCCGCGUGGCACCGGCCAUGGCGCUGACACCGCCCCAGGGUGACACAGAGGCUGAUGGCAUGGAUGUCAAUGUGCGAGGCCCGGGUCAGUGAUGGUGCCCCUCCCCCAGGAUGCCCCGUCCCCAUCCGACUGGGUCUGAGUUCAGG
This 744-nucleotide long non-coding RNA is filed under the name Dasypus novemcinctus (nine-banded armadillo). RNAcentral describes it as "lncRNA (ENSDNOG00000052981.1)". Lineage: Eukaryota; Metazoa; Chordata; Mammalia; Cingulata; Dasypodidae. The record is from RNAcentral.